UGGGAUGUGACGGCUGUCUAAUGUUACUUAAUCGUAGCGGUCAGAGCGAGUAUUGCAGCCUCAUUAAAGAGGCGCCAGGUGGAAGAAGUCGGUUUGAUUAAUAACGACUAAAGUAUCACACAAGCAGAAGAAAACUCGGACACACGACGCUGGAAAACUUUCAGAACGACACGUCGUUGAAAAAGAGGCCAUGAAGUGAACCGUGACGCCAGCCUGCAUCUUUAUUCACUGAGACAAACAUUUGGAAAGUGGCAUUUAAACCAAACAAUUAAUGCUAAUGAAAAACUGGAGCUAGCGACGGGAGGAAACAACUUCUGUCAACAAACAACAACUUCGUCCUCAUGCCAGGAAAGAGGGAGGAAUUCGACGUUAAACAGGAAACCGAAGACGCCCAGAAGAUGCUGGACACCUGUCUCCGAGAUGUGAGUGCAGCUGUUUAGUUUCAGUGGAAACAAUCAGCUCUGCAGACCUUCACCCGUCUGUGGUGGAGACCAACCUGAAAUCAAUCUGCCUCUGAUGUGUCAUCGUCCCUGAAGACGUCAGAACAAAUACACUCUGGACUAAACUCUGAAUCUGUCACAGCUACAACAACCAACAACCAGCUUCACACGUUCAAAACUAGACACAACAUCAUCCAACACUUCUUUCCUAUAUUAUACACAUCUUCUAUUCUGUAAAGUUCAUGUAACUUAACAACCAAUCACAUUGCUCCAUUUACAUGAACAGACUUUAAACCAACACCACCAUGUUGUUGUUAGAGAACAGGAACAUUUUGUUGUUCUUUAACAGUAGAGGAGCAUGAAACUAAUAACCUACUGAGUCAGAAGUGACCUAUAUCUGAUGCUUGUACACAGUUAAACUUCUAACACACACACAGUUACACCUAGUAAACAAGUCAGGUCAUAAUAAUGGAUGAUGAGGAAUGAAGGGUUUAUAACAUACAUCUGAAUGUGUACUAUCUGAAAUCAUUACAUUUUAUUAUGUGAUUACUUUAUGAAGCUUUCACUGUAAUAAAAUCUUAAAUCUCAGGCCA
Mugil cephalus (flathead mullet) is the source of this 1033-nucleotide long non-coding RNA. RefSeq lists it as uncharacterized. The record is from RefSeq and is a predicted model, not a curated record. The transcript has 3 exons. NCBI's taxonomy places the organism in Eukaryota, Metazoa, Chordata, Actinopteri, Mugiliformes, Mugilidae.